This 252-nucleotide ribosomal RNA is filed under the name uncultured bacterium. RNAcentral describes it as "partial 16S ribosomal RNA". It matches the Rfam family "Bacterial small subunit ribosomal RNA", at positions 57 to 305 of the family's 1533-position model. The record is from RNAcentral.
GCAAGUCGAACGGUAACAGCGGGAGCUUGCUCCCGGCUGACGAGUGGCGGACGGGUGAGUAACGCGUAGGAAUCUGCCCAGUAGUGGGGGACAACCCGGGGAAACUCGAGCUAAUACACCAUACGCCCUAAGGGGGAAAGGUGGCCUCUCCUUGGAAGCGGCCACUAUUGGAUGAGCCUGCGUUGGAUUAGCUAGUUGGUAAGGUAAUGGCUUACCAAGGCGACGAUCCAUAGCUGGUCUGAGAGGACGAUC